This 718-nucleotide long non-coding RNA is filed under the name Cicer arietinum (chickpea). RNAcentral describes it as "long non-coding RNA (CARI_LNC000245)". The record is from RNAcentral. Lineage: Eukaryota; Viridiplantae; Streptophyta; Magnoliopsida; Fabales; Fabaceae.
UUGACGAAACAAACUUAUCUCAUUAAUUCAAGUAAAGCAUUACAAAUGAAACACAAACACAAAACAUUCAGAGAAAAUGAACCAAAAAAAAAAAAAAAACAGUUUCUCCCUCAAUCUUGAAAUUGGUAAAAAUCAAAGUUUAAGUUAGUUGCCAAGACAUCAAAGAAAUUACCGCCUCACCCCAAAGUUCCACCUUGGUUAGGCUGUGUGGGGGUUUGAAGACCGUUGAUGAGGAUAAGGUUGGUAGGGUUGAGGAUACAUUUGAGGCAAGGGAGGCAUGACAUAGUUGUGCUAAUAGAAAUCAAGCACACUAAUGUGCUAUGUGUUGGUACUUCAAAACCUUUAAGCAUAUGUCAUCCUUUCAUGUUGGUCUGUCAACCAAGCUGAUGGUACAUUUAUGAAUAAGUAUUUGUCGUGCAUAUAACAUAACAUUAUCAUUCGAAAUCGAUGUUCAUCAGUUCGCUCAUCCUGCAUCUCAAAUGGCGAGUAAUGGUGAGGUGCGUGCGGUUGAGGAGGCUAGGAUUAUUGCUCUUGUUGUUGAGUCUGCAGCGGUUGAGAGGGGCCGUCAGCAGGAACCUUGUCAAAACCUCUUGUGCUAACUAUCAAACCAUCUCAUGGUCAUAGAUUUUCGAGGAGUAAAUUUACCAUCAUUAUGGUUACUCUCAACCCCUUGUGACAAACAAACAUAUGGAUAAUUGAAGCAUGCCUCAUAACCGCU